RNAcentral lists this transfer RNA (72 nucleotides) under Mycolicibacterium tokaiense. RNAcentral describes it as "tRNA-Arg". Lineage: Bacteria; Bacillati; Actinomycetota; Actinomycetes; Mycobacteriales; Mycobacteriaceae. The record is from RNAcentral.
CCGGGGCCGGGCCGGCAGCUGGUGUCCUCCGGCGGCACCGACGUCCCUGUGGUCGCGGUGCUGGCGCCGGAC